UGCCCUUGGUCUAGAUGGAACGAGGAUAUUCUCUUAUGGCAUUAUAGAAUCCUAGAUGAUAUUCCAGUUUACAACAGGGAACUGUCUGGUUAUCUUGUUCCCCUAUUCAUGUCCACAUGGGAAGACGAAAGACCACAUUUGCCAUUUUUAAAGGAUGGAUAUGAACUCAGAAAACUAAUUUUGGGCCAACUACUAACAUUGAAGGACAAUGAAUGUGAAGAUAACAUGCCUGCUGGUGUACUGGACUUCAUCAAUUGUAUUAGGAAAAUCCAAAGUUAAACGGGUAUGUCAAAUAGUAUCAAUUCAUCUCGAAAUGUCAAAUGACUCAAAUAUCUUAUUCCAAUAUGCUAACCUUGUUUUCCUACCAAUAUGCUUGUGUAGGGAGCUCAGUCGGUGGAAGGUAAUUUGUCAGAGAGAUUUCUUGCAGCCAACAGUUAAUAGACAAUGAGCAGGGAGACGAUGAACAUGUAGAGAUGGAUUUUUUUCCUUUGAGAAAUUAAUAGUAGAUUUUGGUUUCUACUUAAGAUAUCCCUUACAUAUAUGUAGAAAACUUUUGGAGCUUGCCAGGAUAUACAUUUUUGGGGGUUGCCAAUUAUAAGAGAUGACGGAUUGCUUCAAAAUUCGAUGUUUGUGGGUUCAGACAUGACAAUACUGUGGAAAUCACAAAUAGUACAGAAUCGUGUACUCUGUUGAUUAAUAAUUA
Molecule: long non-coding RNA, 703 nt
Organism: Aegilops tauschii subsp. strangulata
Lineage: Eukaryota; Viridiplantae; Streptophyta; Magnoliopsida; Poales; Poaceae
Source: RefSeq, a predicted model, not a curated record